UUGGAGGGCAAGUCUGGUGCCAGCAGCCGCGGUAAUUCCAGCUCCAAUAGCGUAUAUUAAAGUUGUUGCAGUUAAAAAGCUCGUAGUUGAAUUUCGGGAUCAAUUAAUUGGUCGUGCCUCUGGUACGCACUGGUUUUAUUGGUUUCUCCCUUCUGACGAACCACGAUGUCAUUAAUUUGGUGUCGUGGAGAAUCAGGACUGUUACUUUGAAAAAAUUAGAGUGUUUAAAGCAGGCUAACGCUUGAAUACAUUAGCAUGGAAUAAUGAAAUAGGACGUUUGAUCCUAUUUUGUUGGUUUCUAGGAUCGACGUAAUGAUUAAUAGGGAUAGUUGGGGGCAUUAGUAUUCAAUUGUCAGAGGUGAAAUUCUUGGAUUUAUUGAAGACUAACUACUGCGAAAGCAUUUGCCAAGGAUGUUUUCAUUAAUCAAGAACGAAAGUUAGGGGAUCGAAGACGAUCAGAUACCGUCGUAGUCUUAACCAUAAACUAUGCCGACUAGGGAUCGGAUGAUGUUAAUUUUUUAAUGACUCAUUCGGCGCCUUACGGGAAAC
Molecule: ribosomal RNA, 549 nt
Filed under: uncultured Glomus
Lineage: Eukaryota; Fungi; Glomeromycota; Glomeromycetes; Glomerales; Glomeraceae
Description: SSU rRNA
Rfam family: Eukaryotic small subunit ribosomal RNA
Source: RNAcentral